CUCUUAUUUGAAUAAAGACAGUUUCUUCAUCUGAUGUGGACAAUUUAGAGAAGAUGCAUACAACUCGCAGUCCAUCCGCAUCCAUCCAGACAGGGGCAGCUGGAGAUGUUCUGGACCUUAGCCUGACUGGCUCUCUGCUCACAGUGGGCCGCAGACCCAGCAGCGCUUCACCUGGAAAACACUUCUCUCGAUCCAUAUCUGUGUCUGUGGCCAGUGAUGGCCGGGGGAAGCGAAACACUUUGACUGAUGCUGGAUUGGGAGGCUCACGAGCAAUUAAGAAUCUGCGACGGUCCAACAGCACCACACAGGUGAACCAGCAGGCCAACACAAG
Molecule: long non-coding RNA, 331 nt
Organism: Sinocyclocheilus rhinocerous
Lineage: Eukaryota; Metazoa; Chordata; Actinopteri; Cypriniformes; Cyprinidae
Exons: 3
Source: RefSeq, a predicted model, not a curated record